RNAcentral lists this ribosomal RNA (500 nucleotides) under uncultured bacterium. Its description in RNAcentral is "partial 16S ribosomal RNA". It matches the Rfam family "Bacterial small subunit ribosomal RNA", at positions 30 to 523 of the family's 1533-position model. The record is from RNAcentral.
AUUGAACGCUGGCGGAAUGCUUUACACAUGCAAGUCGAACGGCAGCACGGACUUCGGUCUGGUGGCGAGUGGCGAACGGGUGAGUAACAUAUCGGAACGUAUCCAAUAAUGGGGGAUAACGAGUCGAAAGAUUCGCUAAUACCGCAUACGCCCUACGGGGGAAAGCUGGGGACCUUCGGGCCUGGCGUUAAUGGAGCGGCCGAUAUCUGAUUAGCUAGUUGGUGAGGUAAAGGCACACCAAGGCGACGAUCAGUAGCUGGUCUGAGAGGACGACCAGCCACACUGGAACUGAGACGCGGUCCAGACUCCUACGGGAGGCAGCAGUGGGGAAUUUUGGACAAUGGGCGCAAGCCUGAUCCAGCCAUUCCGCGUGAGUGAAGAAGGCCUUCGGGUUGUAAAGCUCUUUCGCAAGGGAAGAAAACUUAGCCACUAACAUUGGUUGAGGUUGACGGUACCUUGAUAAGAAGCACCGGCUAACUACGUGCCAGCCGCCGCCGUAA